RNAcentral lists this ribosomal RNA (160 nucleotides) under Candelariella aurella. Its description in RNAcentral is "5.8S ribosomal RNA". It matches the Rfam family "5.8S ribosomal RNA". Rfam says of the family: 5.8S ribosomal RNA (5.8S rRNA) is a component of the large subunit of the eukaryotic ribosome. Lineage: Eukaryota; Fungi; Ascomycota; Candelariomycetes; Candelariales; Candelariaceae. The record is from RNAcentral.
AAAACUUUCAACAACGGAUCUCUUGGUUCUGGCAUCGAUGAAGAACGCAGCGAAAUGCGAUAAGUAAUGUGAAUUGCAGAAUUCAGUGAAUCAUCGAAUCUUUGAACGCACAUUGCGCCCCUUGGUAUCCCGAGGGGCAUGCCUGUUCGAGCGUCAUUAC